CCUACGGGGGGCUGUAGUCGAGAAUCAUUCACAAUGGGGGAAACCCUGAUGGUGCGACGCCGCGUGGGGGAAUGAAGGUCUUCGGAUUGUAAACCCCUGUCAUGUGGGAGCAAAUUAAAAAGAUAGUACCACAAGAGGAAGAGACGGCUAACUCUGUGCCAGCAGCCGCGGUAAUACAGAGGUCUCAAGCGUUGUUCGGAAUCACUGGGCGUAAAGCGUGCGUAGGCUGUUUCGUAAGUCGUGUGUGAAAGGCGCGGACUCAACCCGCGGACGGCACAUGAUACUGCGAGACUAGAGUAAUGGAGGGGGAACCGGAAUUCUCGGUGUAGCAGUGAAAUGCGUAGAUAUCGAGAGGAACACUCGUGGCGAAGGCGGGUUCCUGGACAUUAACUGACGCUGAGGCACGAAGGCCAGGGGAGCGAAAGGGAUUAGAUACCCUAGUAGUC
Molecule: ribosomal RNA, 446 nt
Filed under: uncultured bacterium
Lineage: Bacteria
Description: partial 16S ribosomal RNA
Rfam family: Bacterial small subunit ribosomal RNA
Source: RNAcentral